GGGGAUAUAGCUCAGUUGGUAGAGUGCUUGCUUCCCAUGCACAAGGCCCUGGGUUCAACUCCCAGCACCA
This 70-nucleotide transfer RNA is filed under the name Ictidomys tridecemlineatus (thirteen-lined ground squirrel). Its description in RNAcentral is "Spermophilus tridecemlineatus (thirteen-lined ground squirrel) tRNA". It matches the Rfam family "tRNA". From Rfam's summary of the family: Transfer RNA (tRNA) molecules are approximately 80 nucleotides in length. Their secondary structure includes four short double-helical elements and three loops (D, anti-codon, and T loops). The record is from Rfam by way of RNAcentral. Lineage: Eukaryota; Metazoa; Chordata; Mammalia; Rodentia; Sciuridae.